GGCGCUGUGGCUUAGUUGGUCAAAGCGCCUGUUUAGUAAACAGGAGAUCCUGGGUUCAAAUCCCAGCAGUGCCU
This 74-nucleotide transfer RNA is filed under the name Danio rerio (zebrafish). Its description in RNAcentral is "tRNA-Thr (AGT) (tRNA-Thr-AGT-11-1)". It matches the Rfam family "tRNA". From Rfam's summary of the family: Transfer RNA (tRNA) molecules are approximately 80 nucleotides in length. Their secondary structure includes four short double-helical elements and three loops (D, anti-codon, and T loops). Lineage: Eukaryota; Metazoa; Chordata; Actinopteri; Cypriniformes; Danionidae. The record is from Rfam by way of RNAcentral.